This 212-nucleotide unclassified non-coding RNA is filed under the name uncultured Mucor. Its description in RNAcentral is "sequence contains ITS1". Lineage: Eukaryota; Fungi; Mucoromycota; Mucoromycetes; Mucorales; Mucoraceae. The record is from RNAcentral.
AAUAAUUUGAUAUUUUCCUUUUCGGAAUAAUAUUCUAAUUUACUGUGAACUGUAUUAUUACUUGAUGUUUGAGGGAUAUUCAACGGCCAUAAUGGGUAGGCUGCUGAAGUGUUAACCGAAUCAAGGUCAGGCUUAGGCCUGGUACCCUAUUAUUAUUUACCAAAAGAAUUCAGUAUAAAUAUUGUAACAUAGACGUAAAAAAUCUAUAAAAA